UGCACCAGAAGAGGCGCGUCACCCAGGCAGUAUGUCAGAGAAUCCGUAUUCAUUGACGGCAUAUCAGGGGGAGUGACGCCGAGACGAUAAACAUACGGGCUGUUUAUUUGUCGGCUACAGGGGCUGAAUCCCUUGAGUUGUCACCAAUACAUCAGUUGAUGUUAAUGACGUUAGGUGGGGGGCUUCUGAGUAG
Molecule: regulatory RNA element, 193 nt
Rfam family: Lysine riboswitch aptamer
About the family: Riboswitches are metabolite binding domains within certain messenger RNAs that serve as precision sensors for their corresponding targets. Allosteric rearrangement of mRNA structure is mediated by ligand binding, and this results in modulation of gene expression. This family includes riboswitches that sense lysine in a number of genes involved in lysine metabolism, including lysC.
Source: Rfam